ACCAUCUGAACCAUCUACAAGAAGAAAGAGCAACAUUCGAGACACUGACCCCGGGAAGCUGGCCUUUUACUUCAAGCUAUGCACUUUAUAUUCUCCUCAUGUUUUCUUUCCUGUGCCACCUCUGUGGGGGAUCUGAGGAGGGACAGUAAGGGAUGAAGUGCAGGUUUUUUUUCUGCACCUUAAUGGCUGUAGUGUGCCACUGGCUACAUCAUGGAGGCUUUUCCCUGUAACCCCCCACCACUGUAUUAACACCAUCAUGAUCUGAAAGCCCCUCUGGUAAUUGAUGGAUUACCGUCACUUGCAAAUAUAUACAUGUUGUGGCAAGCAUGUGUACUAAUGAAAGCAGCAGCUAGGCCCAUUACAGUGCCUUUUCAUUCCAGCCAGAGGAUUUUUUUCUCUGUCUUUCCUCCCCAAAAAGCCCUUACUGAUGUUCAUUGAAAUCAAGAGCGGCUUCUCUUUUUUUUAAGAAAGCACAAUUUCCCUUUCACAAUUCAAUACUGCUUUCAAUCUCUUCAAGCGUGUGGUUCCAUUUGGAAACAGCGGCGGAGGACAAGAGGCUGAAUAAAAUUGUACAGUCUAGUUCAAUCAUGCUGCUCUCCAAACACAGGAAUUUUCUCCUCGACUCCUGACCUGAUUACUCGACUGUUGGGAGAAGGAUGCCUUAGCUUUCCCCGUUGCUACUUGCGUGCGACGCUUUAAAACCUUCCAUAGCUCCCUCCCUUUUUUUCCUCCACCAUCACCCCCCCUCCUGGCUGCAGUGGCUGUGUCUGUAGGUCUCCUCCCCGGAUCCCAGAAAGCUUCAGCUCCCUUACAAAUCUGUCAUUCUAAAUUUGCGGCAGAUUAUGUUCUCCCCUCAGUGGGAGAGUGGUGAUAUAUGAUAUGCAAGGCCGCUAUUGAUUGCCUGAUCUGGUGGCAAGAGGGAGCUGAAAUGAACUUGAAAUGAACAUCAUGCCUCAACUCAUUGUGCGUAUAAUACUCUACUUAAUCCCACAUUUUUCUCUGCCAUGGAAUUCAAUUGAUCAAUCAUGUCUGUGUGAUAGUACCAUUUGGGAGGGUUAUUGCCAUUCCAUUCUGCUGCUUGACCUUUUUUCACAGGCUGAGGCCAGAGGAUGAACCCGACUCUCCAAAGAAGAGCUGAAGGAGCUAUAAAAGAGAGUCCUACAGUGUCAGAAGAAGCAGCGGGGGAGGCGGUGGAAUGCAGGGGUGAGGCGGGUGCUGGGUUACUUGGAUGUUAAUCUGUGAGAAUCCCAUUGAUGGAGUAGGAUCCUGCAGGGUCGUUGGAGGCGCUGGUUACAGGCGGAGAGGCUGUGCUUGGUACUAGGACAGAAAAGAAAUCAUAGACGUCCCAUCCGGAGAUGGGUGGAAAGGCUGCUGGACUUUAGUUCGGAUGAUCCUGAGGAACAAAAGGAAAAGUAGCUGUCACUGGUGCUGUCCUUCCUGGAGAGUUCCCCUCCUAAUUUCGGCCUACUACAUGGAGAUAAUGCGGGAUUAAGAUAUCAAAUGUGACUCAUACGCGAGGACGGAUCUGGUCAGUGCUUCUACCUUAAAGCUGUGGAGGGGCUUUCACAGGGGCCGAUCGCAGCACCUAUAGCAGCUUCCCGGAUCAAACAUCUCUGUAGAACCAGUGGCCCCCAUGUGCCAAUGCGGAUGAGGUUGUAUUGAUCGAGGGCUCGGGGAGGAAAAGUUGGGGAUUAGUCACACGGGCAAACAGAUGCAAAUAGAAAGCUAUAAAUUAUAUGUGACAGGAAAGCAAUAGUUCCUUAUUGCCUUGCACAAGCUUACGCCAGCAUUAGAUUCCUUUAAUCUGAAUGGCACUUGGGGAGAAAGGGAGCUGUCACAAUAAUUUGUAAACUUUAAAACUAUUCAUCAUGUAUGCCACGAGAGCCAUUUAAGAGCAGCAGAAGGAGAGGUUGGGUGAGGACCAUGCUGCCUUUUUAGACUCGGAUUCUUUUGUUCUUUGCAUAUUUUCUUUUGAAAAUCUCAAGAACCAGACCGUGUUCAGAUCAAAAACCGUCCUCUCCUUUUAUUUUACACAGGUGUUUUGGAUAUUGAUGCUACUGUAGGAGCCAGAAGGCUUCAGAGAAAUAAAUCCAACACUGUCACAAAUCAUAAUAAAAUAAGUAAAAAAACAACUCCCCUUGGAGGCAAAGCUCCCUAACAACAAGGCUUUCCAGAGAGCGCAUAUUGAUGUUUUAAUUUUUUUCACUUCUCCCCCAUAACAGUUAUUCGACCCCUUGACUUGUGUGUGCUACAUAAAUUCAAAGACUUUAUUUGGUAUCCAUGUUCUUCAUAUUGAAUAAGCAAUUUGGGAGAAUGAAUUAAUGACCUGGCUGUUGCUGAAAAUCCCCUGAAGAGAUAUUAAAAUUGCUUUACUUCUGAAUCAAUAAUAUCGAGUGCCAUUGAGAACCCCCUUCUUUCUUUUUCUUUUUUUUCAUGUCUAGCAGCAAGGUAGCGUUACUUGUUGGUUGUGGUGGCCCCUGACGCGUGCUACAACACUAUCUCUGUAGCAUUUAAUAAUGCAUGCAGGGGAAAGGUGUUUAAAUCAAGCAUCCUCUUUUGUCAACAGUCCUGAGGUCAGACUGUCUGCCACGGAAACCCACAACUGGCCCCAGACUGAACCAUCCAACUGGAAAAGGCUUUGGCUCCAGUCUUUAGUGUUUUUUCCCUGGGUCUUAACUGGGAAAACCCCAUUUAAGCACCUGGAGUGAGAACUUUUCUUGUCAUUUAUUUUAAACACGAAAAUCACUUUUUCAGGUGAUUUUUUAAAGGAAGCAUCAAAUGAUCAGGAACCAAGUUUGCUCAAGUGACGCUCUUGUUGAUUUUCGCGGACUGCUCCAUUAAAAAAACUUCAGACAUCUUGCAAUAGUUGGAGCUAAAUCAAAACAAAUUCCUCUCCUUUGUGAGAAUGCUCCAUUGUGUCUGUGUAUAAAUGUGUGUGUGGCACAGACACAUUGAAAUCUUACAUUUCUUCAGCUCGAAUAAAAAAAAGAGAGAAAAUAUUCAGCAUUAAGCCAUAAUAGAAAUUCAAAGUAGCUCUCAUAUUUGGCUGAUAGAAUUACAGCUUCUUUGUAUUCACAAUUUAAUUUCCCUCAUAAACAAAGACACAUAAGGUUCCCCUCCCCACCACCAGCCCAGCUUCCUUCCAAAAUAGAAAGCUUUAAUUGGAAUUGAAAAACUUUAUAGGGCUCUUUUAAUGAUAUUAAUGUACAUUUUGAAUUUAUCACAUACAUGUGUCUGAGCCUCCUUAAAUGGGGCUUUUUAAGCAGCCACGAAGCAUGAAAUGAAUUUUCUUCAGCCUUUUUCUCUAUUUAAAAGAUGUCUUGUGUGGAGCUGUCCAUGCUCUCCCAUCAGCUCAUUAAAAUGUAAUGCUGAUGCUGGCUCUAUGGAACAGUGCCUCUUAACCAAAGUUCAUCACCAGGGAUCUCUGGUGGUGGGAGGGUUUGGAGGGUGGGUGAGGAGGGGUGAGGUGGCAGUGAGAGGGGGUGUCCUGGGUCCUCCUGUAGCUGCCAUUCUCCAAACUACAGCGCUGUUAGCCAUUUUUUAAAAACAAGAAAAUUAAGAUUUUUUUUUGAAGAAAAUGCAGGAAAAUGUGCGUUUUAGUGCCACAAUGAAGGCAAAUUUUAUACUGCGUUUUUAUGCAUUAUCAUAAUGUUGCAUUAGAAUUAAUUACAGCAAGAUAAUAUCUCGAAUUUUGAUGCAAGGAUUUAAAUUGGAAGCAUCGUUUCCAUCAUUCACUAAACACACAUAUAACCUAUAUGCUAAAUUAUGAUGUCAUUUAUGGCCUUAUUUUUAUUUUUACGCAGUGAAACGUUCUCCAAAACAGCAUCUUGCAGGGGAGAAAAAGCGUUGCUGUCUCUCUCUGUGCAGCAGCUCCAGCACAUUAGAUGUGCUAAAGAAAAUUGGCCUGCUUUAUAGCGCCACGGGAUCUGGUCACCGAAUAUUGAUCGGUUUUCAUCUCGACAGAUUCACUCAGUCCUGGAUGUACUGCUGAUUGUUGAGGGAGUUUGGUCUGAAAGAUUGAAUUGCACCUCUGAGACCGCAGGCAGUCUCGACGCGCCGGGCAGCACAAAGUUGGUCAAACAAUAUUCUGCUGUGCGCUUAUGGCACAGAUACACUCUGAUAAACGAUUUUCAAUUUGCGCACUGCCGGCCCUCUUCAUUAAACUGUUUACAUGCGCCAGCUUGUGGUUCAACUAUCCAAAAAAAAAAAAAAGAAGAAGAAAAAAAUAUCUAAAAUUUGAAUCUAUUUUUAAGUUACGCCUUUUCUCCUACCUGUUAAUGGAU
Amphiprion ocellaris (clown anemonefish) is the source of this 4283-nucleotide long non-coding RNA. RefSeq lists it as uncharacterized. The transcript has 5 exons. The record is from RefSeq and is a predicted model, not a curated record. NCBI's taxonomy places the organism in Eukaryota, Metazoa, Chordata, Actinopteri, Pomacentridae.